CAAGAGAGGAGGAAAUGGGAAGGGGUCCUGUCACGUCCUUGUCUGUUCGCUUGUCCCUCUUUUUUUUUUUCUGUCUUCCUUCCUUCCUUUCUUUCU
Molecule: non-coding RNA, 96 nt
Filed under: Chromera velia
Lineage: Eukaryota; Chromeraceae
Source: RNAcentral